Molecule: long non-coding RNA, 1582 nt
Organism: Clupea harengus (Atlantic herring)
Lineage: Eukaryota; Metazoa; Chordata; Actinopteri; Clupeiformes; Clupeidae
Source: Ensembl
UAUGAGACACAUGAACCUUUUCUGCACUACCCUGAUAUGAAUGAAAUAUGUGGUGUUAAUGUAGAUGUGCUUCUGUGUGUUUUAAACGAGCUUGUCUUCCUGCCGUCACUAAAUAUAUUCCAGCAUUUCGCUAGUUGUAAAAUAUUUAUUGUGGUAUAGAAACGAAAGAUCACAUAGAAGAUCAACUUUUGGAGGCACACAUGAGGAUGCACCAAGAUGUUCAUGACCCUAAUAUUGUAUCCCAGUUGUUUGGUAUUCACCAAUUAGAGCCAUUGGGGAAGCAUGAUGCUAUAUGUUCAAUAUGCAAUUUGAAUCCAUCCACCUUUCUACCAGUAGGCUUUUUAUACUAUAUCUUGACCUGCUCUUUAUUUGCCUGUUUUAUCCUUUCUUUUUAUUAGUCAGUUGUUUCAUUGUGCAAGGGUGAACAAGCUUUAACUGUUAGCUCAGGCAAGGACUUCAGCAAAGGACCAUUUAAGAGAUCCCUCGUUUAGAACAGGAAGUAUUAGUUCCACCCUGGCCAUCGCCACUGAGAAUGAUUUGUUUUGAUGUGUUGCCUGAAUUUCUUUUCAAAUAUUUCAGAUCCUACUCUCAGUCAACAUUAUCAGAACAUUUUUACAUCCACCAAAAACCCAGCUUUAACAUAACAUAUAUUAGCACAUUUAUUAUUUGUUCAUGGAGCAUAGUCUCACACGAAGACAACUUUUACAGCCAGGUUUGCGUGGACAGGGACUGAGGCUUAUUUCAUUCUACAGUAUAAGUCCUCUCCAAGUCAUGAGUACAACAGGUCAAGCCUUUCUGCACAGUGCCCCCCCAUCACUGAUGCUGGGUCAGAUCACGGAUGCAGUUUAAAACAUGCAUAACAAACAUCUUAUUGACAAUGUUGAAGCAUUCUAAUACAAAUAAUAACAAUGAUAUGAAUAAUAUUUCUUGCAAUACAUCAAACUGCUUCUAUGUACUGUACUUAGCAGCAUGCAUUUUGUGAAACAAAGAAGAUAUACAUAUAUAUAUAUAUAUAUAUAUAUAAUAUAUAUAUAUGUAUACAAAUAUAUAUACAUAUAUAUAUAUGUAUAUGCCGACAAAUGUUUGGCACUCUAGCAAUUUAUGGGUAAAUGAUAAGUGUUCAUCCAUCUUGUUUUUAUGAAUUUUUUUAUCUCUACAAUAAUUGUAAAUAAAGAACUUAAUGUCUUUGUUCAUUUAAUACUAUGCAAAAGUCAUGCUUUCUGAUUGUUACCAAACCUAAUCCCUUGAGUGUGUUGCUGGAAUGUUUGUGGUCUCAAAAAAGUCGGUAAACAAUGUGAUGUACAUGAUUUUUUUUUUUAGCUUGACAACAAGAAAAAGCAAUGAACUGUGACUCUUGCUGCCCAUCUGUCCCUAACACACCUCCAGACAGGAGCGCAAGUGAAAAAAAAAACACAAAAACAACACUAAAUAAAUUCCCAGAGCAGCAUGAACCUGAAUGGUGUCCCAUGACCGGUGUGGCCUGUGUCUGUGUGAUGUUUGCAUUUCCUGGGCCCAGGAACACUCCCUGUGUGCACUGUUUGUGUCUAUCUGUCAGUCUGUCUGUGUGUGUGUGUGUGUCUGU